AAGGUCUAACCUGCCCGAUGAUCUUAGGAUUCAAUGGCCGCGGUAUUUUAACUGUGCUAAGGUAGCAUAAUCAUUUGUCUUUUAAUUAAAGGCUAGAAUGAAUGGUUGGACGAGGUAUUGUCUUUCUUUAACUUAGUUGUUGAAUUUAAUUUUCUAGUUAAAAAGCUAGAAUGUUUUUGUGGGACGAGAAGACCCUAUAGAUCUUUAUAUUUGUAAUUUAUCAUGUAUUUUAGUGAAUUAAUUAUUUUGAUAGGUUCAUUUAUUUGGUUGGGGCGACUGUAGAAUUAUAAUAACUUCUAUUUUAAUAAGUUCAUUAAUUAAUGUUUUAUUGAUCCAUUAUUAUUGAUUAUAAUAUUAAGUUACCUUAGGGAUAACAGCGUAAUUUUCUUGAAGAGUUCUUAUCGAUAAGAGAGUUUGCGACCUCGAUGUUGGAUUAAAAUAAGUAAUGGGUGCAGUAGCUCAGUUACUAGGUCUGUUCGACCUU
RNAcentral lists this ribosomal RNA (484 nucleotides) under Biasticus sp. 2 NLH-2022a. RNAcentral's name for it is "partial large subunit ribosomal RNA". It matches the Rfam family "Bacterial large subunit ribosomal RNA", at positions 1847 to 2588 of the family's 2925-position model. The record is from RNAcentral. Lineage: Eukaryota; Metazoa; Arthropoda; Insecta; Hemiptera; Reduviidae.